This 21-nucleotide non-coding RNA is filed under the name Caenorhabditis elegans. The record is from RNAcentral. Lineage: Eukaryota; Metazoa; Nematoda; Chromadorea; Rhabditida; Rhabditidae.
UUUUCACAUAAAUUGCUUUCG